RNAcentral lists this transfer RNA (72 nucleotides) under Toxocara canis (dog roundworm). It matches the Rfam family "tRNA". Rfam says of the family: Transfer RNA (tRNA) molecules are approximately 80 nucleotides in length. Their secondary structure includes four short double-helical elements and three loops (D, anti-codon, and T loops). Further hydrogen bonds mediate the characteristic L-shaped molecular structure. tRNAs have two regions of fundamental functional importance: the anti-codon, which is responsible for specific mRNA codon recognition, and the 3' end, to which the tRNAs corresponding amino acid is attached (by aminoacyl-tRNA synthetases). tRNAs cope with the degeneracy of the genetic code in two manners: having more than one tRNA (with a specific anti-codon) for a particular amino acid; and 'wobble' base-pairing, i.e. permitting non-standard base-pairing at the 3rd anti-codon position. Lineage: Eukaryota; Metazoa; Nematoda; Chromadorea; Rhabditida; Toxocaridae. The record is from Rfam by way of RNAcentral.
GCGGCAGUAGCUCAGUGGUUGAGCCCUCGCUUUGUAAGCGGGAAUACCUGGGUUCGAUUCCCGGCUGCUUCC